This 467-nucleotide ribosomal RNA is filed under the name uncultured bacterium. RNAcentral's name for it is "partial 16S ribosomal RNA". It matches the Rfam family "Bacterial small subunit ribosomal RNA", at positions 28 to 507 of the family's 1533-position model. The record is from RNAcentral.
GACGAACGCUGGCGGCGUGCUUAACACAUGCAAGUCGAACGGAAAGGCCUCUUUCGGGGGGUACUCGAGUGGCGAACGGGUGAGUAACACGUGAGUAACCUGCCCCUGACUUUGGGAUAACUUCAGGAAACUGGGGCUAAUACCGGAUAGGAGCUCCUGCUGCAUGGUGGGGGUUGGAAAGUUUCGGCGGUUGGGGAUGGACUCGCGGCUUAUCAGCUUGUUGGUGGGGUAGUGGCUUACCAAGGCUUUGACGGGUAGCCGGCCUGGGAGGGUGACCGGCCACAUUGGGACUGAGAUACGGCCCAGACUCCUACGGGAGGCAGAAGUGGGGAAUAUUGCACAAUGGGUGGAAGCCUGAUGCAGCAACGCCGUGUGCGGGAUGACGGCCUUCGGGUUGUAAACCGCUUUCGCUCAUGACGAAGCUUUGUGUGACGGUAGUGGGUAAAGAAGCACCGGCUAACUACGUG